RNAcentral lists this long non-coding RNA (718 nucleotides) under Elaeis guineensis (African oil palm). RNAcentral describes it as "long non-coding RNA (EGUI_LNC061684)". Lineage: Eukaryota; Viridiplantae; Streptophyta; Magnoliopsida; Arecales; Arecaceae. The record is from RNAcentral.
GGGUACUCUUAUGGCGCAUAGGGGUGCCAUUGUGAUGUCCUAAGAAGAAUGUUGGUGUAAAAUUCUACCGAUGUCGGAGAAGCUGGAGUCGAGGGGAUCGCGUCCGCCGUCGGGACCUGCAAGGACAGUCUAAAUCGGAGUUUGCGGUGCUCCAUCAAGACCUUUCAACGCUCAAGUCAGUACUCUGCCUCAACAGAAAUGGAGCACUCAAAUGGAAUUUUAGCAGGGUUUCAAGAUAGAGUUUAGAGCUUAGAGAUGAACGUAUCUGGGGGUCCCUUUUUAUAGAUGGAGAGUGUAACUGAUUGACAGUGACGUCUGUAACUGCCUGGUAGUGGGCCGUUCGGGGCCACACGGAGUUUAUUACGGAGAGUAGUAGCGUCAGGGAGCCGUUCAGGGCCACGUGGAGUUUGUUAUGGAGAGUGGAGUGGUGUCCGUUGUCGCGACUUGCCAGAGAGAGGUGGGGCCAUGUGAAAUCUGUCACAGAGAGUGGAUUGGGGUAGUGGCCAUUAUCGUGACUUACCAGAGAGUUCGAACCUGACGGCUGAAGCUCGGCUGGAACGUCUGAUGGAGCAGAAUGGCUCUCUAUCUUUGCAAUCUAAGAGAAGCUCAGAUAUUUUCUGAGGUUGCUGAUGAGUCCACUGUUGUUGGGUGCCUUGGACGCUGAUGCUGCAGGCGAAAGUCAUCUGCUGUAGAAGCUCGGAUGGGGACUUUCUGUUGG